Molecule: ribosomal RNA, 369 nt
Filed under: uncultured bacterium
Lineage: Bacteria
Description: partial 16S ribosomal RNA
Rfam family: Bacterial small subunit ribosomal RNA
Source: RNAcentral
CCUACGGGAGGCAGCAGUGGGGGAUAUUGGACAAUGGGGGGAACCCUGAUCCAGCGACGCCGCGUGAGUGAAGAAGUAUCUCGGUAUGUAAAGCUCUAUCAGCAGGGAAGAAAAUGACGGUACCUGACUAAGAAGCCCCGGCUAAAUACGUGCCAGCAGCCGCGGUAAUACGUAGGGGGCAAGCGUUAUCCGGAUUUACUUGGUGUAAAGGGAGCGGAGGCGGUCUGGUAAGUCUGGUGUGAAAAGCGGGGGCCCAACCCCGGGACUGCUUUGGAAACUGGCGGGCGGGAGUGCAGGAGGGGCGGGCGGAAUUCCUAGUGUAGCGGUGAAAUGCGUAGAUAGUAGGAGGAACACCAGUGGCGAAGGCGG